This 401-nucleotide ribosomal RNA is filed under the name uncultured Oscillibacter sp. RNAcentral describes it as "bacterial SSU rRNA". It matches the Rfam family "Bacterial small subunit ribosomal RNA", at positions 355 to 773 of the family's 1533-position model. Lineage: Bacteria; Bacillati; Bacillota; Clostridia; Eubacteriales; Oscillospiraceae. The record is from RNAcentral.
UGGGGAAUAUUGCACAAUGGGCGAAAGCCUGAUGCAGCAACGCCGCGUGAGCGAAGAAGGUCUUCGGAUCGUAAAGCUCUGUCCUUGGGGAAGAUAAUGACGGUACCCUUGGAGGAGGCCACGGCUAACUACGUGCCAGCAGCCGCGGUAAUACGUAGGUGGCAAGCGUUGUCCGGAUUUACUGGGUGUAAAGGGCGUGUAGCCGGGCCGACAAGUCAGAUGUGAAAUCCACGGGCUUAACCCGUGAACUGCAUUUGAAACUGUUGGUCUUGAGUAUCGGAGAGGUAACCGGAAUUCCUAGUGUAGCGGUGAAAUGCGUAGAUAUUAGGAAGAACACCAGUGGCGAAGGCGGGUUACUGGACGACAACUGACGGUGAGGCGCGAAAGCGUGGGGAGCAAAC